UCAGGAGGAGGAAGAGGAGGAGAUCACCAGCCCCUGCCAGGAGGUACUGAAGACUUUGAAGGCCAAAGUGGCAAAAAUGCAGAAGGAGCACCACCAGGAUAUGCAGGCCAUUCAGGAGCGGAGGAAUGCCAUGGAGGAGAGGCACUGACAGGCCAUGAAAGGGACAAAAUGACUCUUAAAGUCCAUCCCAACCAGGUCUUGUCACCCCAGAGAAGCUAUGCCAUACUGCCAUAUUGUCGGCUCAACUUUGCCAUUGCCAACCAUGAAUUUCGCAUGAUAUACUAUUGCCUUAUUGCUUGUGGACUCCAGCUCAUUCAUGUAGUUUUGUCUUAUACUUUGUCUUGUCUUGUUUUCUCUUCCGUUCUCCUAUUUUGCCGCCCAAUGUUGUACUUAAACUGUACUCAACUACGUGUAGCUCUAUUAUCAUACUAUUGCAUGUAACUCUACUAUAGAUGACACCUAUAUAAUAUGACGUUAUACUUACCUGUCAUCCUCUGUGCUCCUAAGCAAUACGAGAGCUAACUAUUUUUGACAUACUUGUAUUAUAUACCAUGAACAAUGAUGUAAUAUAUCCUAUCUUAUUAUAUAUAAUGUCUCCUGACAUAUUACAUUGUAUUUUACUCCAGGCCGUGAUCAAGGUCCCAUACAAG
Molecule: long non-coding RNA, 650 nt
Organism: Bufo gargarizans (Asiatic toad)
Lineage: Eukaryota; Metazoa; Chordata; Amphibia; Anura; Bufonidae
Exons: 4
Source: RefSeq, a predicted model, not a curated record